Molecule: ribosomal RNA, 529 nt
Filed under: uncultured bacterium
Lineage: Bacteria
Description: partial 16S ribosomal RNA
Rfam family: Bacterial small subunit ribosomal RNA
Source: RNAcentral
UGGGGAAUAUUGCACAAUGGGCGAAAGCCUGAUGCAGCAACGCCGCGUGAGGGACGACGGCCUUCGGGUUGUAAACCUCUUUUAGCAAGGAAGAAGCGAAGGUGACGGUACUUGCAGAAAAAGCGCCGGCUAACUACGUGCCGGCAGCCGCGGUAAUACGUAGGGCGCAAGCGUUAUCCGGAAUUAUUGGGCGUAAAGAGCUCGUAGGCGGUUUGUCGCGUCUGCUGUGAAAACCCGAGGCUCAACCUCGGGCCUGCAGUGGGUACGGGCAGACUAGAGUGCGGUAGGGGAGAUUGGAACUCCUGGUGUAGCGGUGGAAUGCGCAGAUAUCAGGAAGAACACCGAUGGCGAAGGCAGAUCUCUGGGCCGUAACUGACGCUGAGGAGCGAAAGGGUGGGGAGCAAACAGGCUUAGAUACCCUGGUAGUCCACCCGUAAACGUUGGGAACUAGUUGUGGGGUCCAUUCCACGGAUUCCGUGACGCAGCUAACGCAUUAAGUUCCCCGCCUGGGGAGUACGGCCGCAAGGCU